RNAcentral lists this ribosomal RNA (253 nucleotides) under uncultured bacterium. RNAcentral describes it as "partial 16S ribosomal RNA". It matches the Rfam family "Bacterial small subunit ribosomal RNA", at positions 524 to 776 of the family's 1533-position model. The record is from RNAcentral.
UACAGAGGUCUCAAGCGUUGUUCGGAAUUACUGGGCGUAAAGGGCGCGUAGGCGGCCUUCUAAGUCAGACGUGAAAUCCCCCGGCUUAACCUGGGAACUGCGUCUGAUACUGGGAGGCUAGAGUAUGGGAGAGGGAUGUAGAAUUCCAGGUGUAGCGGUGAAAUGCGUAGAUAUCUGGAGGAAUACCGGUGGCGAAGGCGGCAUCCUGGACCAUUACUGACGCUGAGGCGCGAAAGCUAGGGGAGCAAACAGG